Molecule: transfer RNA, 74 nt
Filed under: Ailuropoda melanoleuca (giant panda)
Lineage: Eukaryota; Metazoa; Chordata; Mammalia; Carnivora; Ursidae
Rfam family: tRNA
About the family: Transfer RNA (tRNA) molecules are approximately 80 nucleotides in length. Their secondary structure includes four short double-helical elements and three loops (D, anti-codon, and T loops).
Source: Rfam by way of RNAcentral
GCCUGGCUGGCUUAGUCGGUGGAGCAUGAGACUUCUGAUCUUGGGGGCUGUGAGUUCGAGCCCCAUGUUGGGCG